Molecule: unclassified non-coding RNA, 442 nt
Filed under: Hevea brasiliensis (rubber tree)
Lineage: Eukaryota; Viridiplantae; Streptophyta; Magnoliopsida; Malpighiales; Euphorbiaceae
Source: RNAcentral
GAGAUUAGUAUGAGGGAGAAAAAAAACAACAACGCUCUCUUCACCUUUCUAGACGCCCAGAGCUCCGGUCUCUACCAUCGUUGCCCACCUUCUCCCUCAUACUAAUCUCUACGAUAGCUGCACCAUCGCCUAUGGCUACCAAGACGUCCUCUCCCAUCAAUUCGUCAGACCUGAUCCAACUAGUUAGCUUCCUCCUCAGACGCUCCAAGCUACUCUCCCAUGGCCACCCCACGUGAUUCCUCAUCCCCUUCAACAGAAACGGCUCUGGGCCGCCGGAAAAUGGUACAUCAGUCACUUCAACCUCUCAAAUCGAUCAGAAAAGGCAAUUCUUCAGAGAUUUUUCUUCUGCCUCAUUUUAUUUUCUCUGUUCAAACUUGGCUUCCCAAGAAUUCAAAAAUUUUGAAUUCUAGGUCAAUAGAGGUUAUGAUUUUUGCUAUAAAAG